This is a long non-coding RNA of Daucus carota subsp. sativus, 1360 nucleotides long. RefSeq lists it as uncharacterized. The transcript has 3 exons. The record is from RefSeq and is a predicted model, not a curated record. NCBI's taxonomy places the organism in Eukaryota, Viridiplantae, Streptophyta, Magnoliopsida, Apiales, Apiaceae.
CACACACUAACACUACAAGUCGAUCGAAGAGAGAUCAAGAGCGAAAGAGAAGAAGAUCGAGAGGAAGAAAGAGAAGAACAGAGGCGUGUGGGCGUGUGAGAGAGAGAGAAGUCGAAGGCAAGGGUCUGUCUAGUUAGGAUAUAAUGUUAUCAUCAAAUUCUGGAAGAACACACCUGGGCAAGAGGCCAGCAUCAAAAGCUCAAAAGAAUGGAGGCAAGAAACAAGCCACAGAACAGAUGGAAGAACCACGUGAAAUUACUGUCAAGGUCAAGAGUCAAGUAAUCUCUCUAUUUUUAGCACCAACAAAUGUUAAAGACUCUUUCUAUUAGUUCUAGUUUCUUCUGUGCCUCUUGUUAAUACGAUUUUGGAAUUUGAUUGCAAUUGUUCUAGUCUUCUUGUAAAUGUGUAUCUAAUCAACUUCUAGCUCCAUGUAGCCCGAUUCUACGAUAUCACAUUGCAUUUGGUUCUAAAAUAUCACCAUUGCAUUCAGUUCUGCGAUAUCAUGUCCAUUCUAUAUGAAUUUUACUGCAAUCUCAUAUCAUAUCAUAUCGUAACAUAUGUAACAUACACACACAUACGUUUUUUGUGAAGCUAAUGUCUUAGGCUCUAGCACAGAUCUAUAGAAUUCUUAAAAUUUAAAAUGAUUGUAUCCAAACAGAUUAAACUGAAUCCCUUGAGCCUUGAACAUACUAAUAUGUAUGUCCCAACUUUGUUCAUUAAUACAACAUAGUCAAACUGAUAUGCAUAUUUCAACAAGUGAUUCAUGUUUCAGAGGCACAAGUAGCACAAGUGCAAGAAGCACCACACUUGCAGAAGGCCUUGCCGGAACAUAGACCUAAAUAGUGAGGUUAUCGAUUAUAUUUCUGUUCUUUAACUUGUGAACUAGGUAUGUUGUGAUGGUUGUGAUGUCUGGGUUCAUGCCGAAUGUGCCGAUUUUUCUGGCAAGCAGUUAGAGGUGGUGUGGCAUUCAUGCCCAAUCUGUUUAAUCCUUUAAAAUCUGCAAAAUCUGGUGCAGCUCAGGUAGCAUGGACUAUUCUUGCACACACACAAAAGCCCCGGCUCCUGCCCCUGUUCAGGAUAAAGACAAACCAACUAAUGCAUCAAUUUUUGAUCGUAAUAUUGAGGAUGCUUUGCUGGUUUCCACAAAUGCCCCAAAAGAUGUUCUCUUGGAAUAAUCGAUGACGAUGUGCCUGAUAUCAAAAGUCUUUUGUUACGGAAUUUUUGUUGAUAAAAAAUUUGGUGUAAUAAUAUAUUGAUGUAUUUUAUUUACCAUUCUAGAUUUAGGAUUUUUUUUUUUACUAAUGUCAGUAACAAUGGUACCGCUCUUGGCGGUGGUGGUGUAGGCAUCGUUAGAUUUGUG